RNAcentral lists this long non-coding RNA (544 nucleotides) under Crocodylus porosus (Australian saltwater crocodile). RNAcentral's name for it is "lncRNA (ENSCPRG00005005652.1)". The record is from RNAcentral. Lineage: Eukaryota; Metazoa; Chordata; Crocodylia; Crocodylidae.
AUGCGGACAUCCCACUAGCAAGCCAGCAUCACAUGAGCCAGAGCUGGAUCCAGAGGCCGGGAUAAGAACAUCUCCUGUGGCACAGAAGCAAGAACCAGGCGCGCAGCCAGAGGACAAUGAAGCGGAGUCUGUGAAGCAGGAGUCAGAUGAGCCGGACACGACAGAUAGCGAGGUGGUGGCUGCGUCGGAGCAUGACCCCCGCCAGGAAGCUCCGGCUGAAGAAGAGCAGUUCUGCACAAAGGACAAAGCUCAGGUUUUGCAGAAGAAAAGGCAAAGAGGGCAGGAUCCCCAAGCCAAAGAGUAUAAGAAGUCAGUGAGAGCGAGAAAGAAAGUCAAAGUGGCCCAGGCUCCAGCUGGCGCACCAGGAAUGACAAAGGAAAUGGACAGCAGCAGCCCGGCUUCCAGCAACGAAGAACUGUAACAGAGAGCUGACAAUGUAGUCCGUGGGCCAGGAGCCGAAGAUCCCAGCAUUGGACACCCAGCUGUGACAGUGUCUCCUUCUGUGACUGUAGGCAACUCGCUGAACUGCUGUCCUCUGGCUUCC